This is a long non-coding RNA of Coffea arabica (coffee), 718 nucleotides long. RefSeq lists it as uncharacterized. Lineage: Eukaryota; Viridiplantae; Streptophyta; Magnoliopsida; Gentianales; Rubiaceae. The record is from RefSeq and is a predicted model, not a curated record.
AAUGGAAAAAGCAAAUAGAAUACAAGGGCGUAAAUGGGUGAAGGCAUCGAGCUAUGAUGUUCAUUGAUUUGCUCGGAGUGGGGGAAACAGGGGAUCUGCAGAAUAAUCCAACCGAACCCAACCCAGUCCAGCCCACCGGCGGCUACAGGAAGACGGACGUCUGGCUGGUGGUCUUUUCUCCUCGAAGAGUGGUGGAUGGAAAAGAUGGGAACCGCCAACAGGGAGCUGGAACAUUUGUUCGAGGACAAGAAGCGCGUCAGAAAUCCCCUCGUCCCCUUCGGUGCAUUUAUUACAGCUGGAGUGCUUACGGCCGGACUUAUUAGCUUUAGACAAGGCAAUUCUCAAUUAGGUCAAAAGUUGAUGCGAGCUCGUGUGGUUGCACAAGGUGCAACUGUUGCAUUAAUGGUGGGGACUGCUUACUACUAUGGAGAUAAAUUUUAAUAUUUUGAAUAAUCUUCUAUGUCAUGUGACUGCCAAAUGGCUUUUGCCUUUGCCUUUUCCCUUAGAGAUCUUUUAUUCUGGAGGAUUAGAUCUAUCGUGUAAAAAACUUGUUACGACCCAAGUUUAUCACUUUUUGCUGAUGAGCAGGUCUGUUUGUUGCCUAUUUGUUUGUAUGAGCUAUUGCAUGCUACCAAUGGUUGCAAAGAUCUCUGAUGUGGUUGGACCAUUAAUGUAAAAUUUAAUUUAUGAUGCUGAUAUGCUGGUUUUUCAUUCAAAC